GAUGAACGCUAGCUACAGGCUUAACACAUGCAAGUCGAGGGGAAACGAUAUUGGAAGCUUGCUUCCGAUAGGCGUCGACCGGCGCACGGGUGAGUAACGCGUAUCCAACCUGCCCAUCACUUGGGGAUAACCUUGCGAAAGUAAGACUAAUACCCAAUGACGUCUCUAGAAGACAUCUGAAGGAGAUUAAAGAUUUAUCGGUGAUGGAUGGGGAUGCGUCUGAUUAGCUUGUUGGCGGGGUAACGGCCCACCAAGGCGACGAUCAGUAGGGUUCUGAGAGGAUGAACGGCCACAUUGGGACUGAGACACGGCCCAGACUCCUACGGAGGCAGCAGUGGGGGAUAUUGCACAAUGGGGGAAACCCUGAUGCAGCGACGCCGCGUGGAGGAAGGAAGGUUUUUCGGAUUGUAAACUCCUGUCGUUAGGGACGAAUAAUGACGGUACCUAACAAGAAAG
RNAcentral lists this ribosomal RNA (456 nucleotides) under uncultured bacterium. RNAcentral describes it as "bacterial SSU rRNA". It matches the Rfam family "Bacterial small subunit ribosomal RNA", at positions 28 to 490 of the family's 1533-position model. The record is from RNAcentral.